Molecule: ribosomal RNA, 978 nt
Filed under: Vreelandella aquamarina
Lineage: Bacteria; Pseudomonadati; Pseudomonadota; Gammaproteobacteria; Oceanospirillales; Halomonadaceae
Description: Halomonas aquamarina partial 16S ribosomal RNA
Rfam family: Bacterial small subunit ribosomal RNA
Source: RNAcentral
UAGWSCUCUUAGUUGUUCGGAAUUAGGCUAGUUGGUGAAGGUAAAGGCUCACCAAGGCAACGAUCCGUAGCUGKUCUGAGAGGAUGAUCAGCCACAUCGGRACUGAGGACACGGCCCGAACUCCUACGGGAGGCAGCAGUGGGGAAUAUUGGACAAUGGGGGCAACCCUGAUCCAGCCAUGCCGCGUGUGUGAAGAAGGCCCUCGGGUUGUAAAGCACUUUCAGCGAGGAAGAACGCCUAGCGGUUAAUACCCGCUAGGAAAGACAUCACUCGCAGAAGAAGCACCGGGCUAACUCCGUGCCAGCAGCCGCGGUAAUACGGAGGGUGCAAGCGUUAAUCGGAAUUACUGGGCGUAAAGCGCGCGUAGGUGGCUUGAUAAGCCGGUUGUGAAAGCCCCGGGCUCAACCUGGGAACGGCAUCCGGAACUGUCAAGCUAGAGUGCAGGAGAGGAAGGUAGAAUUCCCGGUGUAGCGGUGAAAUGCGUAGAGAUCGGGAGGAAUACCAGUGGCGAAGGCGGCCUUCUGGACUGACACUGACACUGAGGUGCGAAAGCGUGGGUAGCAAACAGGAUUAGAUACCCUGGUAGUCCACGCCGUAAACGAUGUCGACCAGCCGUUGGGUGCCUAGCGCACUUUGUGGCGAAGUUAACGCGAUAAGUCGACCGCCUGGGGAGUACGGCCGCAAGGUUAAAACUCAAAUGAAUUGACGGGGGCCCGCACAAGCGGUGGAGCAUGUGGUUUAAUUCKAUGCAACGCGAAGAACCUUACCUAYUCUYGACMUCCCUGCKAWUUCGGUAGAGAUACCUUASUGCCUUCGGGAACKCAKAGACAGGCUGCUGCAUSGCUCGYCGUCAGCUUCKUGYUGYGAAAUGUUUGUGKUUWAGUCCCGWAACSRSCGCAMYCCUYKYCCUUACUUYGCCACSCGCGUAMUGGGCGGUGAWCUGUCWAAGGAKAUCKSCCGRYGAMMWACGGKAGGCAA